RNAcentral lists this transfer RNA (73 nucleotides) under Anguilla anguilla (European eel). RNAcentral's name for it is "tRNA-OTHER". The record is from RNAcentral. Lineage: Eukaryota; Metazoa; Chordata; Actinopteri; Anguilliformes; Anguillidae.
GGCACGGUGGUGCAGUUGGUAGCACUAUCGCCUCACAGCAAGAAGGUCUUGGGUUGGAAUCCGGCCUGGGCCU